Molecule: long non-coding RNA, 2549 nt
Organism: Homo sapiens (human)
Lineage: Eukaryota; Metazoa; Chordata; Mammalia; Primates; Hominidae
Exons: 3
Source: RefSeq, a predicted model, not a curated record
GUAGGAAGGUCAGGGAAGGGAGCUAUUUGAGAGUGAAGGAGGAGGAAGAAUCAUAUAUAAUAUUUGGUAGAAGCUGUGAUUGAUGUUCCAGUGAAAUAUGUGGAUGGAAAUGCCCAGGAGACAGCUAGAGAUGCCUGGCUAGACCCAAGAGAGUUUGAGCCUGGGAUACAUAUUUCGGAGUCCUUCCCAUAAAGCUAAUAGCUAAAGUCGAUAUGGAAGAGAAGACAGUGAAGAGCAGAGCCUUAGGCAACACCCACAUUCUGGAGAUUUAUUUUAUCAUGUUACCUAGAAUGUUCCUCCAUCUCCUAUUAAGCACCCCUCUCUCAAACUGAAGUUGCAGCUUAAGAAUUACUUGCCUCUUUCCCCACAUUUAUAAUCCCUGCCCCCUGUUGCAGAUGCAGAACAGCAACCCAAGUCCCUUCUGGAAGCAGCCCUCUCCCUCCUGGCAGCUGACAGAAGUCUCUCUGGCCAGGCCGGCCUUUUGGCUGCUCUGCAUAUGGAAGUUCAAUUACUGUCAAUGGGAGGCCCAUCGGCAGGGUGAGGGCAGAAUACACAAUGGAGAUCGGUGUACCAGAUAGGCGCCUAGAUCAAAGAAGAACCCAGAGUUUGUGAAGUCCUUUCAUCCUCCCUGAUGAAAGGGAGAAGCUUACUGCUGUUUUCAUGGCUCUGCAUGCCCGGGGAAAGAGGAAGGCCACAGGAAGGUGACAGCUGAGGCAGGUCUGGCUCCUGGAGGAUGGGACACACAACGUGGGAACCGGCAAGUCACCAGAGUCAUCUCAGCCAAGAUCAACCAAUAGUCAAUUACCAGGAACGUGAGAGAAUUCUGAGACCAGGACUGCUCAGCCACCUCUGCCUAAAAUACCAACACACAGAACAGUAAAGUGAAUGGAUGUUUAUUAUCCUAAGCCACUAUAUUUUGAGAUUGUACCUCAUGCAGCACUAUUAUGACCAUAGGUGACUGAUAUAAAAAGUAAGGAAUUAUGAAUCAUAAGAAAAAGAUGAACCAAGGAAAGAAUCAGCUUUGAAGAGGUGGUAAACUAUGGGAGUUGGGUAUGCUUUUCUGCAAUGAUCUUGUCUUAUUUUCUUUUUUUUUAAAGGAAGGCCUACCUGAAUAAUUCUGUGCAGGAAGAUAAAAGCAAGAUUAGAGUGAGACCUAUUCAGGGAGGUGUCAUUUUGUGAGCAGUUCAUGACCAUACCCAAUAAUCAGGGUCUGUCUACAUAUCUGAAUUUUAAUCCUUACAUAUAUGGCCUUAGAUGAACUAAAAUAAUUAUAAGAAGUUGUGUCAUUGUAGACUUCUAUUAAUAAACAUAUACCUACAUAUAUACAUGUUUAUGCACAAGAAUCAGCCUGUAUAGGCAUAUUUACCUAGGCAUAUUCAUUGCAUAGUGCUCUCAUGGUUGUGACUUGGGUGGGUGUAGCAAAGUGACAGGCCAGGAUCUCACCACAUAGGAAGAACUUUGGUCUGGCCAAGACAGGGCCAGCUAGUGGCCUCCCUGCCAUUAGCUCUGUCUGCCACCCAAGACAGAAGAAGCCAACAGUCCAAAGGGACAUAGCAGCUUCAUUUUGGUUCUAGUUAGUGGUGCCAUAGAAGAGGAACAGGCAGAUAGGAUCUCAUCUAGGCCAUGAGACAAGCAAGAGUUCUCAAGAAGGGUAGACUCUUAGAAACAGGAGGCCAGUGAGACAUGGAUCUAAGAGGCAUAGCCAGGUAGAAGCAGCCCUAGUCAAUGGCUAGAAGUAUAAUAUCCCAAUAAAAGAGGCAUUCUUAGAAAGCUGGGCAGCAUCUCAGGACCACACAUGAUUGGGGAAAAGGGGUUGGUGAGGGGCAGACCCAGCCAGUUAGGCCUGUAGGUGCUGGGACAGGGUGGGGGAUGCAUUGUACCCACAGAAUAAAGCCAUAAGGGUGAAUAGCAAGAGCCACAUUGUGGAUCACCCUGGAGCAGGUGUCAGAGUGAAGCCUGACAUAUGGAAGCUCUAGGAACACAAUGGUAACCAGGGGAAUAGAGGAAGAAAGAGAGGUUUCAAGGCCUCAGUAAAGCUGAGACUCAGGAACAGCAGGUGUGCACAAGUGCUAAGUGGUCUGGAUUAAUUCACGAGCUGGGUGCCAAUGCCUGGCUCAGCUUCUAUGGGCUCCUGGAGGAUCCUUAAGAGGUGAUAAAGUUCAGGUAAAGACAGUGGACUGGGACCAGGCAGAGCCUGGGAUCCUGGGGUCAUAUCCAGCCCAUUACCAAAUCCUGUCAAUUAAACUUCCAAAAUGUCUCUGAGAUCUGCCUGGGGCUCUCAGCAUCUUUCCCACCAUUGUCUCUUGUCUUGAUUUAGGCAGUGGUCCUUACUUGUCUUCCUGUACGGCUGCCAGAGGGGAAUUUUAAAUAUAUAGUUUGGAUUGCAUCAUUCUCCCUGUUUAAAACCCUCCAAGGCUUUCUGGAUUCUUUCCCAAUAGUUUCAAACACUUUACUCUGAGCGUCUUUGUCCCAUGCAUGCCAUUCUCCCCCUUUCUUGCAGCUGCAGACACAGUGACCAGGCCUUGGUUGUAUGAUGCCUCCAGCUCGUU